Sinocyclocheilus anshuiensis is the source of this 760-nucleotide long non-coding RNA. RefSeq lists it as uncharacterized. NCBI's taxonomy places the organism in Eukaryota, Metazoa, Chordata, Actinopteri, Cypriniformes, Cyprinidae. The record is from RefSeq and is a predicted model, not a curated record. The transcript is spliced from 14 exons.
UCUGCGGCGCUCAUGGGGAAUGUAGGUGUAAUGCUUUGAGGCCUUAGAUAAAGGGUGACAACAGGAAUCGAGUGGAUCUAGAGUAGUGUCCACGGUCUAAUGCUUUGAGGCCUUUGAUAAAGGGUGACAACAGGAAUGUGAAUCUGGAACGCUGUGUGAAAGGAGCAUGUGCAGAUGAAUUGAACGGUGGUUUAAGAUGGUACAAGAGAUGUGAAGAUGCCUUCAGCUGAGCACGCACGACUUCUGCAGGGAUUCAGGCAUAUCUGCAUGAGUUCUACAGGUGUACAAGCAUGAUUGCUUUCCCUCUAUUUCUGGCUGUGGAAAGAUCAGCAGCCGUCUGAUUGUUUUUCAGGGACAGCAUGAUGUUGGGAUCAGUGCUGAUGGCAGUCACUGUGGGUGUGUGUGCUUAUUGACAGGUGUGGUGGUGACUGCUCCUUUGUGCCAUGUGAAUAUGAAUGGGGCGUGUGUUUAAGGUCCUGGAUUGGGGCAACGUGUUGAUUGUGACCAAUUAACCAAUGGGUCUCUUUUUAGGGAGCUCAAGAUUAUCCAGGAUGGCUCUGGGAAAAACCAUAUGAAUGAUUUUACCUGCAUCUGACUCUUCUGAAUGAUGUUCCAGAGAGAGCUUCGAUUCUUGUUUUCUGAUUUGAAGUCACUGGUCUCUUUUUGAGCAAUUAAGUGACCUUUUCAAAGCGGUCAUCUAUGUUGUUACAACUGUCAAGUUUGUGAAGUGUCAUUACUUCAAUAAAGCCGUUAAAUCAAA